This 265-nucleotide unclassified non-coding RNA is filed under the name Bombus terrestris (buff-tailed bumblebee). RNAcentral's name for it is "misc RNA ENSBTSG00005038272.1". The record is from RNAcentral. Lineage: Eukaryota; Metazoa; Arthropoda; Insecta; Hymenoptera; Apidae.
AUCGCGAUUUUCAUUUAAUCGCUCGCGUCAUCAACAUUAUUUGAAGUUUUAUAAAGGUACAAGUGGAAAAUAAACAAGAUAAUAUCCGAAGUUCCAUUCUAUACAAGAGCGGCCAAGACGAAGGGAAACACACAUGAAAACGGUUUAUUGCGAAAUGGAAUUCAGAAUGGAACAGAUGCGUUCUCGAGUAAGAGCAUCGAAAGGUUAAAAAGAAUGAAAUGCACCGAUGUACAAUAUCUUCUAUUACCCAGUUGCCUGAGACGAG